UUUCACUGGUAAAUAGUAGUUUUCAUAGUAAUUGGUGUAUUUUCAAUGCUGAAUUUCUGCAUAUUACAGUAUCAAUACAUGAUACAUUGCGAUCUUUGUGCCCUGCUGAUCCUCUGAUUGCUGUAGCCUGGUUAUUUUUGUGCAGUUAUACUGCUAGAGAGAGAGAGAUAUUAGUGCUGAUAAAACAUCUGAACAGCGUGCUCUGCUUGUGGAAUCUAGAAGGUGAGAGGUCUUUCUAUUUUAAUCCUUUGAUGCAUAAUGAUUAUAUAGUUGAGUCCGUUUGUGAAAUUGCCAUGCUUGGCACAAAAGACUGUAGUACUGAUAUUUAAACACUUCUAGAUGUUGUGCUAGGUAUUAUCUUUUUGACAAGAUUCUCUUUAAGUUAAUUGUUCAUAUCAAUCAUUAUAUAAUUCAUUUUACUACAUUUAGCUUCUAAUUAGAUGAAGAGUUAGGUCUCUCAACU
Molecule: long non-coding RNA, 463 nt
Filed under: Phoenix dactylifera (date palm)
Lineage: Eukaryota; Viridiplantae; Streptophyta; Magnoliopsida; Arecales; Arecaceae
Description: long non-coding RNA (PDAC_LNC020373)
Source: RNAcentral